AGCAAAGCAAAGCUCAGUUGGA
This 22-nucleotide microRNA is filed under the name Macaca mulatta (Rhesus monkey). RNAcentral describes it as "Mml-Mir-7208_3p (mature (co-guide))". Lineage: Eukaryota; Metazoa; Chordata; Mammalia; Primates; Cercopithecidae. The record is from RNAcentral.